This is a long non-coding RNA of Centruroides sculpturatus (bark scorpion), 634 nucleotides long. RefSeq lists it as uncharacterized. NCBI's taxonomy places the organism in Eukaryota, Metazoa, Arthropoda, Arachnida, Scorpiones, Buthidae. The transcript is spliced from 3 exons. The record is from RefSeq and is a predicted model, not a curated record.
GCUUACUAAUAUAGGCUAUAUCUAAUACAAUUGCAAUACAAUGAAGUGUUUGUGUAUCUAAAGAUGUCUAAACAUAGAAAAGGUAUGGGCAGCUACAAAUUUUCAGCUCCAUUAUAAUGUUAUGGAACAUUUGUUGUAUGUGUGUUAUUGUUACAUGUAAUUUAAAAUUAAUUUAUUUUUCUUGUGUAAUAAUAAUAAUAAUAAUAAUUUAUUUUUAAUUAGCUUUCUUUUAUCAAGAAAGUCAAAAUAAGUCAAAUAAAGAACCUGUUCAAUUUGUAAACAAUAUUCAACUAGGAGAAAUAACACCUUCCCAAAAAAUAAAAACUUGUAUAUUUAUGAAAACAAGUGAAGUGGGCAUAAGAAAUGUUAUGUUUAAGAAAUUCAUAAUUGCUGAAAUUUAUGGUGAAAAUGCAUUAUUGCAAAACAGAUCACAGUAUGGUGUUCUCAAUAUAAAGAUGGACACAUGUUUGCAAGAUCAAGAAAGAAGUGGGAAGCCAAAAACGUCACAGAACAGUGAAUGUGUGGAAGAAAUGUUACAGAAUGAUUGAAGGUUAAAAUAUGGAAGUUGUCAAAGAUCCAUAGAAUUGGUCAUAAAGUUCUUAGAUACCAAAAACAAUGUGCACAUUGGGUUCCA